Molecule: ribosomal RNA, 450 nt
Filed under: uncultured bacterium
Lineage: Bacteria
Description: partial 16S ribosomal RNA
Rfam family: Bacterial small subunit ribosomal RNA
Source: RNAcentral
GUGGGGAAUAUUCCGCAAUGGACGAAAGUCUGACGGAGCAACGCCGCGUGAGUGAUGAAGGUUUUCGGACUGUAAAGCUCUGUUGUUUAGGACGAAAGUGCCUGUUGCGAAUAGUUACAGGUAUUGACGGUACUGAACGAGGAAGCCACGGCUAACUACGUGCCAGCAGCCGCGGUAAUACGUAGGUGGCAAGCGUUGUCCGGAAUUAUUGGGCGUAAAGAGCAUGUAGGCGGGAAUCUAAGUCUGUUGUGAAAAUGCGGGGCUCAACCCCGUAUUGCGAUGGAAACUGGGUUUCUUGAGUGCAGGAGAGGAAAGGGGAAUUCCCAGUGUAGCGGUGAAAUGCGUAGAUAUUGGGAGGAACACCAGUGGCGAAGGCGCCUUUCUGGACUGUGUCUGACGCUGAGAUGCGAAAGCCAGGGUAGCGAACGGGAUUAGAAACCCGUGUAGUCC